UGUACCAUGUACGUUCUGCGACGUUACCAAGUAAAACACGACAAUUUACUCAGUAAUUAAGCUGAAACUGUACUGUAAAAGGAAGCCUUGUUUGUUUCCAUGGUAUUACCAGGUUCUUACCAUAUAAUUUGUAAUACAUUCCCUUUUCCAUGCAGUCAACACAAACUUGAACCAUGUACGUUCUGCGACGUUACCAAGUAAAACACACCAAUUUACCCAGUAAGUAAGCUGAAACUGUACUGUAAAAGGAAGCCUUGUUUGUUUCCAUGGUAUUACCAGGCUCUUACCAUAUAAGUUGUAAUUGGUUAUUCCCUUUUCCAUGCAAUCAACACAAACCAUAUAUGUUCUGCAACAUCGUUCACCAGUAGUUAAGCACUUUAAUUGUUGUUAUAAAACCCCAAACCACUGUUGAUGAAAGGCAUAUUAAAAUUAAACAAAAUCAAAGGCUUAUCUUUCAAACAAUGCAUAUCUCACAAACAGGCACUGAACACUGAAGAAAUCGGACAAAAAAAAGAGCCGUCAAUUUGAAUGUUACUGAUGGUGCUUUCAUAAAACACAUGACAGUGUUAUGGCAAGUGACCACAAGGAAGACUGCUUCAACCUCUUCAAUUUGAAUAAGUGGUGAAUGCCAUGCAGCAAUCUGCCUAUGGGAGCAUCUUUCUCUUUAAUGUCUUCUCUGUGAGGUAUCCCUGCAGUCUCCACAUCUGGGAUUUGAA
Molecule: long non-coding RNA, 716 nt
Organism: Gadus macrocephalus (Pacific cod)
Lineage: Eukaryota; Metazoa; Chordata; Actinopteri; Gadiformes; Gadidae
Exons: 2
Source: RefSeq, a predicted model, not a curated record